Molecule: long non-coding RNA, 662 nt
Filed under: Eucalyptus grandis
Lineage: Eukaryota; Viridiplantae; Streptophyta; Magnoliopsida; Myrtales; Myrtaceae
Description: long non-coding RNA (EGRA_LNC003483)
Source: RNAcentral
UUAGCCAACCGCCCACUUGUUGCUACCGCUAGUCGCCAUCUGAGGCCAUUGCCAGUCACCAUCCACCGAUGCUUGGGAGAGAGAAAUUUUGUGUUAUUAUCAAACGAACUUUUUUUCCUGAAACAAAAAUUUUAUAUCGUUAUCAAAUAAGUAUUUGUGCUCAGAAACUUAUUAAGGAAUAGAAAUAAAAAAUAAAUCAAUUUUUAGCCUGAAUGGUUACUAUUUGCCCCGUGAGCACCCGAAUUUCUAUUUUCCUCCGUCCAUCCUUCGUUUGAAAGGGUUUCAAUUGGUGAGCUGCAAAUGUGUGACGUCACGCAUAUGUAAGUCUAACGAUAAAUAUGUGCGGUAGAGAUUUUACAUAUGAAUGAUGUCCGGUACCAUAUAUGCUUACGAGCCGGAAUCCUUCGAUCGAGACGGAGGAAAAGACGGGCCGUGGAAAAGUCGAAAGUAAAAGACUUUUAAUUCCUGGGAGAACAACGGGGAGAUUAGUCUCGUGAUCAGACAUGCCAAAUCAAGCGAUGCAAACGCGCUCACAACUUUCAUCAUCACGUCCCAUUGCCAAGUCCUGGCUUUUUGCUCGCGAGAUAUUUCUGCAUGCUCGAGAAUAACUGAUCGAGAACGCGCACACCUGUCGACGCUCGAUUGCCUAAGGCAGCAGAGCG